This 393-nucleotide ribosomal RNA is filed under the name uncultured bacterium. RNAcentral's name for it is "partial 16S ribosomal RNA". It matches the Rfam family "Bacterial small subunit ribosomal RNA", at positions 523 to 918 of the family's 1533-position model. The record is from RNAcentral.
AUACGGAGGAUGCGAGCGCUAUCCGGAUUUAUUGGGUUUAAAGGGUGCGUAGGCGGUUUUUUAAGUCAGCGGUGAAACGCAAGGGCUCAACCCUUGACCUGCCGUUGAAACUGGAGGACUUGAAUGCGGAUGCUGUGGGAGGAAUGUGUGGUGUAGCGGUGAAAUGCAGAGAUAUAACACAGAACACCGAGUGCGAAGGCAUCUUACAAAACCGUGAUUGAUGCUGAGGCACGAAAGGGUGGGGAUCAAACAGGAUUAGAUACCCUGGUAGUCCACACAGUAAACGAUGAUGCCUCGAUGUCGGCGAUAUACGAUCGGUGGCCAAGCGAAAGCGAUAAGUCAUCCACCUGGGGAGUACGACCGCAAGGUUGAAACUCAAAUGAAUUGACGGGG